AGUGAACGCUGGCGGUAGGCCUAACACAUGCAAGUCGAACGGCAGCACAGUAAGAGCUUGCUCUUACGGGUGGCGAGUGGCGGACGGGUGAGGAAUACAUCGGAAUCUACUUUUUCGUGGGGGAUAACGUAGGGAAACUUACGCGAAUACCGCAUACUACCUACGGGUGAAAGCAGGGGAUCUUCGGACCUUUCGCGAUUGAAUGAGCCGAUGUCGGAUUAGCUAGUUGGCGGGGUAAAGGCCCACCAAGGCGACGAUCCGUAGCUGGUCUGAGGGGAUGAUCAGCCACACUGGAACUGAGACACGGUCCAGACUCCUACGGGAGGCAGCAGUGGGGAAUAUUGGACAAUGGGCGCAAGCCUGAUCCAGCCAUACCGCGUGGGUGAAGAAGGCCUUCGGGUUGUAAAGCCCUUUUGUUGGGAAAGAAAAGCAGCAGGUUAAUACCCCGCUGUUCUGACGGUACCCAAAGAAUAAGCACCGGCUAACUUCGUG
RNAcentral lists this ribosomal RNA (492 nucleotides) under uncultured bacterium. RNAcentral describes it as "partial 16S ribosomal RNA". It matches the Rfam family "Bacterial small subunit ribosomal RNA", at positions 29 to 507 of the family's 1533-position model. The record is from RNAcentral.